AAAAAAAAACAAUUCUUUGAUGCUUCCCUCAUCCCAUCAGCCAUGGUCCUAAAGCUUCUUGAUGGUGGUGGCGGCGGCGGCGGCGACGACGGAUUCAAUCCCUCUGCUGCCGAGCACAAGCGACACGAGCAGAUCGGCAACCUCGCCGUCGAGCUCAAGCACCAGCGCCUUGCUUCUAAGCCAUCAGCUAUGGUACGGAGGUAAGCUAGCUUCAUGGGGUUGCCGGCGGCGGCUGAUUUGGUCCCUUGCAGCUGAGCACAAGCGACGCGCGAGCAGAUCGGCGACCUCACCGGCGAGCUCGAGCACCACGCAGUGCAUUAGGCGACACAACAUCAAUCUCAAGUGCGGGCCACCCAAUCGAUUGCCUUGCUUCCGAGUUCUAGCCUGAGCUCUUGGAACUAGCGCGCAGGGCAUGAGAGCACAGGAUACCAGCAAAUUCAAACUUCUUGCAGCUGCAUUUGACACUAGAUUCCAAUGCGACCUUUUUGAGUAUAACUUAUUCUUCAUGUCAACACGAGUGAAGCCAAGAUUCUCAUAUCCACAUGAUUGUUUUGCCAACAAGUCAACAACCGCUUUAGUUGAAAUGCCUACAGAUUUUGCAACUUCAACACUUGCAACCUGAGCUUCAUUUACCUUCCUUUGUGAUCUUAACUGGCCAGCGGAUGAAUCAUCAGGCUCAACAAGAUUUGUGAAUGACGUCGUUGUAGCAGAUGUAUUGUCCAAGAACAUGGGACUUGCUCCUGCAUCAUGCAGUUGUGAUGCCUCUGAUGGAGGAAUCAUGCUGUUGUUUGGCAUAGCACCAAGAUCUGGCGUCGAUGCCGGUGCUUGAUAAGAGAGAUUAAUUUAUCAGGAUGCUAAUGCAUGUUUAGAUAUGAGUUGUUUGGAUGCUGGAGGAUUUAACGGGAGAACUGAGACAAAUGGCGCCAUAAUUCUUUUUCCCGCCAGCAAUUCUAUCUAUUUGGCGCCUAAAAUCUGUUAGUAAAAUUAAUGGUGUUGUUUCUAACUAUUAAACGGAGACGUAAUGCCGUGCGUGUGACGGAGGCGCAAAGGUGUGGAGGCCCACUAGAAAAUACGAAACCAAUAAGCGAUUGACAUCUGGCAA
This is a non-coding RNA of Oryza sativa Japonica Group (Japanese rice), 1102 nucleotides long. NCBI's taxonomy places the organism in Eukaryota, Viridiplantae, Streptophyta, Magnoliopsida, Poales, Poaceae. The record is from RefSeq and is a predicted model, not a curated record.